GGCAUAGUUCAGUGGAAGAGCAUCUGUUUUGCAUGCAGAAUGUACCAGGUUAAAUCCUCUAGGGAGAACCA
Non-coding RNA from Podarcis lilfordi (Lilford's wall lizard), 71 nucleotides. The record is from the annotation of a GenBank genome assembly. Lineage: Eukaryota; Metazoa; Chordata; Lepidosauria; Squamata; Lacertidae.